This is a non-coding RNA of Triticum aestivum (bread wheat), 135 nucleotides long. Lineage: Eukaryota; Viridiplantae; Streptophyta; Magnoliopsida; Poales; Poaceae. The record is from Rfam.
CAUGUGCUCCCUCCGUCCGAAAAUACUUGUCAUCAGAAUGGACAAAAAGAGAUUUUUCUAGAACUAAAAUACAUCUAGAUACACCCCCUUUUAUUCAUUUUGAUGAGAAGUAUUUCCGGACAGAGGGAGUAUAUG